UUAAAUCUUGUGCAAGGUUUCAAUGGUUUUACAUUUCUAUCGUCACAGGAACCCCAAUGCAUUUAAGGGUUUGUCGCGUAAACUUGUCGAGUGUAAGUAGUGCGCGAAAAAGUGACGUUUAGUGUACAUUGUAUGGAGUUAUUCGCAUUAACGGAGGAGAUAGAGAGAGACUGAGGAGAUCUACGCAGAGCCCCGCAUGAGCCCCCAGUGGCCACCGUGGAGAGUUUUGUGAAGAAGUUGGGAUAUAAAAGAGAUUUUCCAAAAAUUCUGAGAUUUUGGAACUUCAAAUUUGCAGAAAUUGGAAGGAGGCGAUCAUACUAAAAUGGAACCUUUACCCAAAAUAUUAAUAGGGGAAAGCAGAAUCGAGUCAGUGAGCAGCGGACAAUCUAGGACAAAUUAAUCGUCACUCUCCUAAAACGUAUUAGAAAGAGUCAGGCCGUAGUAUAGAUUAGAUUAACUUAAUGAUUUACGCAGAUUUCAAAGACGAAAAGAAAAACAUAGGGUAAGUGUGCCAAAUUUCAGCAUAGUUACAUACAAGCGCCAAAGUCUCAAGUUUGAAAUGUAAUAUCUUUAAUAGAAAUUUAUUUUUUUCAUUCCUUCUACUUAAUCAGUAUUGUUUAGAACCUUGUAGACAGUUUACCGUCUUUAUUCACUUUAAAAUCAUUCUUAAUAUGUUUUAAAAUGAAUAAAAAUGUAGACAAAACUUUGGUGCCCUAUUUCGGCCACCUUCAUUCUCAUAGUUCCUUGCCCUUCGGAAAUUCUUCCAAUGUCUUUUUCACGCCAUCUCGUUUGUCGAAGCUACAUUUUUUGUUAUUCUUUUGCAUUGUAUAAUCUCUACAGUAUGUAAAAACUAAAAGUUCAUGAAAAUUCGAGGAACAAAAAAGGUGGCCGGAAUUGCAAGCUGACCGGAAUAUGGCACACUUACCCUAAUUAUUUUUAAGAUUUUCAACUAAAUAAAAAAAGUAUUAUUUUGAAUUAAACCCUUGAGCAUAUAAAAUCACAACA
Molecule: long non-coding RNA, 1005 nt
Organism: Phlebotomus papatasi
Lineage: Eukaryota; Metazoa; Arthropoda; Insecta; Diptera; Psychodidae
Exons: 2
Source: RefSeq, a predicted model, not a curated record